CAGCCCUUGACAUCCCGAUCGCGGAUUACGGAGACGUUUUCCUUCAGUUCGGCUGGAUCGGAGACAGGUGCUGCAUGGCUGUCGUCAGCUCGUGUCGUGAGAUGUUGGGUUAAGUCCCGCAACGAGCGCAACCCUCGCCCUUAGUUGCCAUCAUUUAGUUGGGCACUCUAAGGGGACUGCCGGUGAUAAGCCGGAGGAAGGUGGGGAUGACGUCAAGUCUUCAUGGCCCUUACGGGCUGGGCUACACACGUGCUACAAUGGCGGUGACAGAGGGUUGCUAGGCUGCGAAGUCAUGCUAAUCCCUAAAAGCCGUCUCAGUUCGGAUUGCACUCUGCAACUCGGGUGCAUGAAGUCGGAAUCGCUAGUAAUCGCAGAUCAGCACGCUGCGGUGAAUA
RNAcentral lists this ribosomal RNA (395 nucleotides) under uncultured bacterium. RNAcentral's name for it is "bacterial SSU rRNA". It matches the Rfam family "Bacterial small subunit ribosomal RNA", at positions 975 to 1368 of the family's 1533-position model. The record is from RNAcentral.